Molecule: ribosomal RNA, 504 nt
Filed under: uncultured bacterium
Lineage: Bacteria
Description: bacterial SSU rRNA
Rfam family: Bacterial small subunit ribosomal RNA
Source: RNAcentral
AGUGAACGCUGGCGGCAGGCCUAAUACAUGCAAGUCGAACGGCAGCACAGCAGAGCUUGCUCUGUGGGUGGCGAGUGGCGGACGGGUGAGGAAUACGUGGGAAUCUGCCCAGUCGUGGGGGAUAACGUAGGGAAACUUACGCUAAUACCGCAUGCGCCCUUCGGGGAAAGCCGGGGACCUUCGGGCCUGGCGCGAUUGGAUGAGCCCACGUCGGAUUAGCUAGUUGGCGGGUAAAGGCCCACCAAGGCGACGAUCCGUAGCUGGUCUGAGAGGAUGAUCAGCCACACUGGAACUGAGACACGGUCCAGACUCCUACGGGAGGCAGCAGUAGGGAAUAUUGGACAAUGGGCGCAAGCCUGAUCCAGCCAUGCCGCGUGAGUGAAGAAGGCCCUCGGGUUGUAAAGCUCUUUUGUCCGGAAAGAAAAGCGCCGGGUUAAUACCCUGGUGUCCUGACGGUACCGGAAGAUAAGCACCGGCUAACUUCGUGCCAGCAGCCGCGGUAAU